GUGCGUAACACGUGGGUGACCUGCCCUGGAGUGGGGAAUAACUAUCCUAACGGAUAGCUAAUACCGCAUAUGCUCGGUGGUUCGUUCCGCUGAGUAAAGUCGCAAGACGCUUUGGGAUGGGCCUGCGGCGGAUUAGGUAGUUGGUGGGGUAAUGGCCUACCAAGCCGAUGAUCCGUAGGGGGCGUGAGAGCGUGGCCCCCCACACUGGCACUGAGAUACGGGCCAGACUCCUACGGGAGGCAGCAGUGAGGAAUAUUGCGCAAUGGGCGAAAGCCUGACGCAGCAACGCCGCGUGAGGGACGAAGGCCUUCGGGUCGUAAACCUCUUUUCUGGGGAAAGAGACAGGACGGUACCUCAGGAAUAAGUCUCGGCUAACUACGUGCCAGCAGCCGCGGUAAAACGUAGGAGGCGAGCGUUAUCCGGAUUUACUGGGCGUAAAGAGCACGCAGGCGGCUUCGUUAGUCGGAUGUGAAAGCUCCCGGCUUAACUGGGAGAGGCCAUUCGAUACUACGA
This 513-nucleotide ribosomal RNA is filed under the name uncultured bacterium. RNAcentral's name for it is "bacterial SSU rRNA". It matches the Rfam family "Bacterial small subunit ribosomal RNA", at positions 106 to 638 of the family's 1533-position model. The record is from RNAcentral.